This 418-nucleotide ribosomal RNA is filed under the name Awacaris yezoensis. Its description in RNAcentral is "partial 16S ribosomal RNA". The record is from RNAcentral. Lineage: Eukaryota; Metazoa; Arthropoda; Malacostraca; Amphipoda; Pontogeneiidae.
GUAGCAAAAUAAAUUGUUUUUUAAUUGAAAACGGGUAUGAAUGGUCAUACAAAGUAUUUUUAUUUUUAAUUAAUUUUAUUAAAUUCUGGUUUAAGUUAAAAUACUUAAAUAAUUAAAAGGGACGAUAAGACCCUAGAAUCUUUAUUUAUAUUUUUUUUAAAGUAGUAUAGGUGAUAAAUAAAUUAAGUUUGAGUUUGAUUGGGGCAAUCAUUUUAAUUAAAUUAAAAUUUUAUAGACUUUAUAAAAGGAUGUAUGAUCCUUUAAAUAAGGAUAAAUAGGUUUAGUUACUCUAGGGAUAACAGCGUAAUAUUUUCAGAAAGGCCAUAUUAAUGAAUAUGAUUGCGACCUCGAUGUUGAAUUAAAAUAUCUCUACAAGGCAUAAUGUGUGUGAGAAGGUUUGUUCAACCUUUAAAAUUUU